Molecule: unclassified non-coding RNA, 313 nt
Filed under: plant metagenome
Description: partial contains small subunit ribosomal RNA, internal transcribed spacer 1, and 5.8S ribosomal RNA
Source: RNAcentral
UUUCCGUAGGUGAACCUGCGGAAGGAUCAUUGUAGGAUUGUUUUGGGAGGGGUGGCUGUGAUUUGUGGGGAUUGUGUGGUUGUUUGGAUUGCUUGGAUUGCCUGGAUUGCUUGGAUUGCCUGGCUGUCUGCAACUCGACUCGUCUCAUCACAAUCACUCUUUACAUUGGCACAGACCAGUGGUCUGGUGUUUGGAGCACAGACUCGGUCUGGUGUUUGGAGCAACAGACUCAGUCUGAUGUUUGCGCUUGUUCGUUUGACAGAAACAGUACCAUAUCAUUGCAAAACUUUUAACAAUGGAUCUCUUGGCUCUU